RNAcentral lists this ribosomal RNA (381 nucleotides) under uncultured bacterium. Its description in RNAcentral is "bacterial SSU rRNA". It matches the Rfam family "Bacterial small subunit ribosomal RNA", at positions 524 to 903 of the family's 1533-position model. The record is from RNAcentral.
UACGGGGGGUGCAAGCGUUAAUCGGAAUCACUGGGCGUAAAGGGUGCGUAGGCGGUACGUUAGGUCUGUCGUGGAAUCCCCGGGCUCAACCUGGGAAUGGCGGUAGAAACCGGCGAACUAGAGUAUGGGAGAGGGUGGUGGAAUUCCAGGUGUAGCGGUGAAAUGCGUAGAGAUCUGGAGGAACAUCAGUGGCGAAGGCGGCCACCUGGCCCAAUACUGACGCUGAGGCACGAAAGCGUGGGGGAGCAAACAGGAUUAGAUACCCUGGUAGUCCACGCCCUAAACGAUGAAUACUAAAUGUUUGGUACCUAGCGUACUGAGUGUCGUAGCUAACGCGAUAAGUAUUCCGCCUGAGAAGUACGGCCGCAAGGUUAAAACUCA